GAUGAACGCUGGCGGCGUGCCUAAUACAUGCAAGUCGAGCGAACGGACGAGAAGCUUGCUUCUCUGAUGUUAGCGGCGGACGGGUGAGUAACACGUGGAUAACCUACCUAUAAGACUGGGAUAACUUCGGGAAACCGGAGCUAAUACCGGAUGAUAUUUUGAACCGCAUGGUUCAAAAGUGAAAGACGGUCUUGCUGUCACUUAUAGAUGGAUCCGCGCUGCCUUAGCUAGUUGGUAAGGUAACGGCUUACCAAGGCAACGAUGCAUAGCCGACCUGAGAGGGUGAUCGGCCACACUGGAACUGAGAAACGGUCCAGACUCCUACGGAGGCAGCAGUAGGGAACCUUCCGCAAUGGGCGAAAGCCUAACGGAGCAACACCGAGUGAGUGAUGAAGGUCUUCGGAUCGUAAAACUCUGUUAUUAGGGAAGAACAUAUGUGUAAGUAACUGUGCACAUCUUGACGGUACCUAAUCAGAAAGCCACGGCUAACUACGUG
This 496-nucleotide ribosomal RNA is filed under the name uncultured bacterium. Its description in RNAcentral is "partial 16S ribosomal RNA". It matches the Rfam family "Bacterial small subunit ribosomal RNA", at positions 28 to 507 of the family's 1533-position model. The record is from RNAcentral.